GCAGCAGCCACGGGAAUACAGAGGGUGCGAGCGUUAAUCGGAAUUACUGGGCGCAAAGGGCGCGUAGGCGGUUAGGAAGGUGUGAUGUGAAAGCCCUGGGCUUAACCUAGGAAGUGCAUCGCAAACCAACUAGCUGGAGUAUAAGAGAGGGUGGCGGAAUUUCCGGUGUAGCGGUGAAAUGCGUAGAGAUCGGAAGGAACGUCAAUGGCGAAGGCAGCCACCUGGCUUAAUACUGACGCUGAGGCGCGAAAGCGUGGGGAGCGAACAGGAUUAGAUACCCGCGUAGUCCCUGUCUCUUAUAC
This 302-nucleotide ribosomal RNA is filed under the name uncultured bacterium. RNAcentral describes it as "partial 16S ribosomal RNA". It matches the Rfam family "Bacterial small subunit ribosomal RNA", at positions 508 to 807 of the family's 1533-position model. The record is from RNAcentral.